Chenopodium quinoa (quinoa) is the source of this 2056-nucleotide RNA transcript. RefSeq lists it as uncharacterized. The transcript has 12 exons. Lineage: Eukaryota; Viridiplantae; Streptophyta; Magnoliopsida; Caryophyllales; Amaranthaceae. The record is from RefSeq and is a predicted model, not a curated record.
AAAAAAAUUAAAACUGAAUUAAACUAAACUGAACUGAACUAAAAAAAAUAAAUAUUAUAAGAUACUACGAAGUACUUCGUACUCUAUAUGUCGUAAGUUGUUUAACUCACUCCUCCUCUUUGGCCUUGACAACAUUACAACAAGAGCAAAUCCUUUGUUGAGAGAUGAUGAUGUUGGGUUUGUCAGGUGCACCAUUUUCUUAUCCCCUGAAAUUCUACAGACCCAAUAAAGCCAUAACCUCAAAUUCUUCAGAAUUUUCUCUCUCCUCCGCUGUUACUCCUCGUUAUCAUCUUAACAGCCCAUUUGUUCCCGAGGUUGAUUAUGCAGUGGCUUCAUUACACUCAGAGUUCAGGGACAUCGACAAUUUGGUAGCACACAAUACUUCACGUGUUCUAAAGGCCUUUCAGAAUGCUCGAGUUGGAUCUCAUUUUUUUGCUGGAUGCACUGGUUAUGGCCAUGACGAAGCUGGAGGACGUGAGGGUUUAGACCAAGCAUUUGCCGAUAUAUUUGGUGCUGAGUCUGCUAUUGUCCGUUCACAUGUAAUUUGUUCCCCCGUUUUCUCUCUGCAGUCUUUGCUUUUUGUUCCUAUUGCUAUGUCUCAUUGUUCACUUCAGUUUUUUUCAGGCACCCAUGCUAUUACUUGUGCCUUGUUUGCUAUGUUGAGGCCAGGUGACGAGCUUCUGGCAGUUGCUGGUGCUCCAUACGACACUUUGGAGGAAGUCAUUGGAAAGCGUGACUGUGAUGGGAUUGGAUCUCUAAAAGAUUUUGGAAUCAAAUAUCGAGAACUUGCACUUGCUGAGGAUGGUGGACUUGACUGGGAUGGAUUGAUAAGUGCUGUCACUCCUCAAACAAGGUGUGCACUCAUACAAAGAUCAUGUGGUUAUUCAUGGCGUUGCAGUUUAAGUGUCAAUGAGAUAGGGAGAGCAAUAAAAAUGAUAAAGGUGCAGAAUCCAAACUGUUUGGUCAUGGUGGAUAACUGCUAUGGUGAAUUUGUGAAUGCAAUUGAACCCCCAAUGGUGGGUGCAGAUUUAAUUGCUGGAAGUUUGAUAAAAAAUCCAGGAGGGACUAUUUCACCAUGUGGAGGUUAUGUUGCUGGGAAAGAAAAGUGGGUGAAAGCAGCAGCGGCUCGCUUGUCUGCUCCAGGACUUGGAAUUGAUUGUGGCUCAACUCCUGGUGAUAUCAUGCGGACUUUCUAUCAGGGAUUGUACCUUGCACCUCAGAUGGUUGGGGAAGCCAUCAAGGGUUCAUUAUUAAUUGCUGAGGUUAUGUCUUUGAAAGGGUUCAAAGUUCAGCCACGUCCCCGAGUUCCAAGGAAUGACACAGUGCAGGCUGUCGAGCUAGGGAAUCGAGAACGCCUUAUUGCUUUUUGUGAGGCGGUGCAGAGAAGCUCCCUUGUUAGCUCGUUUACAAAACCAGUGCCUGGAGCAACUGCUGGAUAUGCGUCAGAGGUGAUCUUUGCUGAUGGAACCUUCAUUGAUGGUAGUACCAGUGAGCUGUCAUGUGAUGGACCACUGAGGGAGCCGUUUGCCGUAUUCUGUCAGGGUGGUACUCACUGGACUCAGUGGGGAUUGGUUUUGGGAGAGGUUCUUAAAUCCAUGAGUUAGAGCAGAGAAGGCGUUAGCAUUUUUCUUCCAGAAGUAUUAUUCUUGUAGCCGAGGUAAAGAGAAUCCUGGUGGCACUUUAAAUCUGUAGCACUAGCUAAAGGGUUUAUAUUGACACCCGUGUAUCAUGGACAGUUUUGUCAACAUUUAAGUACAUGGAUCUUCAUACAACUGAUACAAGUGCAAUAUAGUACAAGGAAGAACUACUCUUGCAGUGAGAAUGGGAAAAAGCGACAACCUAAUUUUGUUAAUUGUUUGAAGCAAAUGAUGUGUGAUUUGUGAAAGGCUCUUACAGCUUCCCUUGCCUUGGUUAAGGAAAAAAGGCUGAUGCUGCCUCAAGACUGACUGCUUCUAUCUUAAGAAACCUUAAAUCAAGUCUUUGCUUUGUUCAGGGGCCAAAGAAAUGAUGCAGUCAUGCCUAAAUGUCUGAACAACUUUGAUGUAAACAGUUGAUC